CAGUCGCCACGGGAAUACGUAGGUGGCAAGCGUUGUCCGGAAUUAUUGGGCGUAAAGGGCUCGCAGGCGGUUUCUUAAGUCUGAUGUGAAAGCCCCCGGCUCAACCGGGGAGGGUCAUUGGAAACUGGGAAACUUGAGUGCAGAAGAGGAGAGUGGAAUUCCACGUGUAGCGGUGAAAUGCGUAGAAAUGUGGAGGAACACCAGUGGCGAAGGCGACUCUCUGGUCUGUAACUGACGCUGAGGAGCGAAAGCGUGGGGAGCGAACAGGAUUAGAUACCCGCGUAGUCCCUGUCUCUUAUAA
This 301-nucleotide ribosomal RNA is filed under the name uncultured bacterium. RNAcentral's name for it is "partial 16S ribosomal RNA". It matches the Rfam family "Bacterial small subunit ribosomal RNA", at positions 509 to 809 of the family's 1533-position model. The record is from RNAcentral.